RNAcentral lists this long non-coding RNA (259 nucleotides) under Fukomys damarensis (Damara mole-rat). Its description in RNAcentral is "lncRNA (ENSFDAG00000029294.1)". Lineage: Eukaryota; Metazoa; Chordata; Mammalia; Rodentia; Bathyergidae. The record is from RNAcentral.
GUUCUCUGUCUGCCUGCAAGCUCCUGUGAAUAGGGCCCGGGACAGAUGCCAGUUGUGUUUGAUGAGUGAAUGAAGGAAACCCAAAACCCUGCGGAUGGACAGGUGGUCACAUGAAGAAGUACACACCAACACAAGCCAUGCACACGGAUGCGUGUGUACCGCACACACGGCCACACUAACCAUGCAUAUGGAGCGCCCUCUUGGCCAUCUGUGGCCCAGCACGACCUGGCUUCAAAAAACACAUGAAUGAAUGACCCGG